RNAcentral lists this ribosomal RNA (147 nucleotides) under Pseudomonas aeruginosa. Its description in RNAcentral is "partial 16S ribosomal RNA". It matches the Rfam family "Bacterial small subunit ribosomal RNA", at positions 1397 to 1533 of the family's 1533-position model. The record is from RNAcentral. Lineage: Bacteria; Pseudomonadati; Pseudomonadota; Gammaproteobacteria; Pseudomonadales; Pseudomonadaceae.
UCACACCAUGGGAGUGGGUUGCAAAAGAAGUAGGUAGCUUAACCUUCGGGAGGGCGCUUUCCACUUUGUGAUUCAUGACUGGGGUGAAGUCGUAACAAGGUAACCGUAGGGGAACCUGCGGUUGGAUCACCUCCUUACCUUAAAGAA